GACGAACGCUGGCGGCGUGCUUAACACAUGCAAGUCGAGCGGUAAGGCCCUUUCGGGGGUACACGAGCGGCGAACGGGUGAGUAACACGUGGGUGACCUGCCCUCAGCUCUGGGAUAAGCCUGGGAAACCGGGUCUAAUACCGGAUAUGACUCCAUGACGCAUGUUGUGGGGUGGAAAGCCUUGUGCGGCUGAGGAUGGGCCCGCGGCCUAUCAGCUUGUUGGUGGGGUGAUGGCCUACCAAGGCGACGACGGGUAGCCGGCCUGAGAGGGCGACCGGCCACACUGGGACUGAGACACGGCCCAGACUCCUACGGGAGGCAGCAGUGAGGAAUAUUGCACAAUGGGCNCAAGCCUGAUGCAGCGACGCCGCGUGGGUGACGAAGGUCUU
This 389-nucleotide ribosomal RNA is filed under the name uncultured bacterium. RNAcentral describes it as "bacterial SSU rRNA". It matches the Rfam family "Bacterial small subunit ribosomal RNA", at positions 28 to 418 of the family's 1533-position model. The record is from RNAcentral.